UACAGAGGGUGCGAGCGUUGUUCGGAAUUAUUGGGCGUAAAGGGCGCGUAGGCGGUGCGGUAAGUCACCCGUGAAAUCUCCUGGCUCAACUGGGAGCUUGCAGGCGAAACUGCCGUGCUGGAGUGUGGGAGAGGUGCGUGGAAUUCCUGGUGUAGCGGUGAAAUGCGUAGAUAUCAGGAGGAACACCUGUGGCGAAAGCGGCGCACUGGACCACAACUGACGCUGAGGCGCGAAAGCUAGGGGAGCAAACAGG
This 253-nucleotide ribosomal RNA is filed under the name uncultured bacterium. RNAcentral's name for it is "partial 16S ribosomal RNA". It matches the Rfam family "Bacterial small subunit ribosomal RNA", at positions 524 to 776 of the family's 1533-position model. The record is from RNAcentral.